RNA transcript from Solanum verrucosum, 1297 nucleotides. It is a transcript of the gene named 1-aminocyclopropane-1-carboxylate oxidase homolog 1-like, with no coding region annotated. The transcript has 3 exons. Lineage: Eukaryota; Viridiplantae; Streptophyta; Magnoliopsida; Solanales; Solanaceae. The record is from RefSeq and is a predicted model, not a curated record.
CUUGUUGAAAUUAAGAACAAAUAUGUCCAGAAUUGCAGAGUCUCAAGCUGAAUUAACAAUGGAAUAUGAUCGAUUGAAGGAGUUAAAGGCUUUCGAUGAUACAAAAGCCGGUGUUAAAGGAUUAGUUGAUUCCGGAAUUGUGGAAAUUCCAAGAAUAUUCAUUAGGCCAUCUGAUGAACUUGUUGAAGAGUUGACUCAGGGUAAGUCCACUCUACAUUGUCCUGUGAUAGAUUUCAGUGGCAUAGAAGUUCAAGAUCAUCGUAAGAAGGUUGUCGAUGAAAUAAGGGACGCAUCGGAGAAGUGGGGAUUUUUCCAACUGAUAAAUCAUGGGAUUUCUUCAAGUGUAAUAUUGGAAGGAAUGAUUGAUGGGAUUCGUAAAUUUCACGAACAAGAUGCUGAGGUAAAGAAAGAGUACUAUUCGCGUGAUUUCCAAUCGAGAAGAGUAAGAUAUGAGAGCAACUUUGAUCUUUAUCAGUCAAAAGCUGCAAACUGGAGGGAUACAUUGAACAUUUCUUUGCUACAUUCAAGUCAUAUUGAACCGGAAGAAAUACCAGCAGUUUGCAGGAACAUAAUCGUUGAGUAUAUAAAUCAUGUCACAAAGCUAGGAGAAACUAUAUUCAGCAUUUUAUCAGAAGCGCUCGGGCUAAAGCCAGAUCACUUGAAAGAUAUGUAAUGUACUAAAGGAAAAUCAGUAGUAUGCCAUUACUAUCCAGCAUGCCCACAGCCAGAGCUAACUCUUGGCGCUGCGAACCAUACAGAUCCUGCUUUCCUUACUGUUCUUCUUCAAGAUCAAAUUGGUGGCCUUCAAGUCCUGCACAAUAACCAAUGGAUAGAUGUUAAACCGGUUUCACAAGGAUUGGUUGUUAAUAUUGGCGAAGCACUUCAGAUCCUAUCAAAUGACAAGUUUGUGAGUGCAAAUCAUAGAGUUAUAGUGAACGGGGUAGGACCAAGAAUGUCAGUGGCAUGCUUCUUCAAUGGUAGUUUUGCACAACCAAAGAUCUACGGUCCGAUCAAGGAUCUAAUAUCAGAAGAAAAUCCCCUUUUGUAUAAAGAAUUUACAGUAACUGAUUACAUUGCUAAGUUUAUGUCCAGGCCUCUUGGUACAUGUGCCCUUGACCUUUUCAGACUGUGAAGAAACACAAAAAAUCUACAUUACCAAGCAGCGACAAACGCCAUCAGUAUAGUCCUUCAUAAAACCUAUGAUUGUUGUUCAUUAAAGUAUGUUCUUAUCUGUAAUAAUGUUUUACACAUGAGUACUGGAGGAAUAUGCAGCUUAUCCCUUUAUAUGUAAGCAUUU